AGCGAACGCUGGCGGCAGGCUUAACACAUGCAAGUCGAGCGGACCUUUCGGGGUCAGCGGCGGACGGGUGAGUAACGCGUGGGAACGUGCCUUCCGGUUCGGAAUAACCCUGGGAAACUAGGGCUAAUACCGGAUACGCCCUUAUGGGGAAAGGUUUACUGCCGGAAGAUCGGCCCGCGUCUGAUUAGCUAGUUGGUGGGGUAACGGCCUACUAAGGCGACGAUCAGUAGCUGGUCUGAGAGGAUGAUCAGCCACACUGGGACUGAGACACGGCCCAGACUCCUACGGGAGGCAGCAGUGGGGAAUAUUGGACAAUGGGCGCAAGCCUGAUCCAGCCAUGCCGCGUGAGUGAUGAAGGCCUUAGGGUUGUAAAGCUCUUUUAUCCGGGACGAUAAUGACGGUACCGGAGGAAUAAGCCCCGGCUAACUUCGUG
RNAcentral lists this ribosomal RNA (433 nucleotides) under uncultured bacterium. RNAcentral describes it as "partial 16S ribosomal RNA". It matches the Rfam family "Bacterial small subunit ribosomal RNA", at positions 29 to 507 of the family's 1533-position model. The record is from RNAcentral.